CCUACGGGGGGCAUCAGUGGGGAAUAUUGGACAAUGGGGGGAACCCUGAUCCAGCCAUGCCGCGUGUGUGAAGAAGGCCCUCGGGUUGUAAAGCACUUUCAGUGAGGAAGAACGCCUGGUGGUUAAUACCCAUCAGGAAAGACAUCACUCACAGAAGAAGCACCGGCUAACUCCGUGCCAGCAGCCGCGGUAAUACGGAGGGUGCGAGCGUUAAUCGGAAUUACUGGGCGUAAAGCGCGCGUAGGUGGCUUGAUAAGCCGGUUGUGAAAGCCCCGGGCUCAACCUGGGAACGGCAUCCGGAACUGUCAAGCUAGAGUGCAGGAGAGGAAGGUAGAAUUCCCGGUGUAGCGGUGAAAUGCGUAGAGAUCGGGAGGAAUACCAGUGGCGAAGGCGGCCUUCUGGACUGAAACUGACACUGAGGUGCGAAAGCGUGGGUAGCAAACAGGAUUAGAUACCCUGGUAGUC
This 465-nucleotide ribosomal RNA is filed under the name Vreelandella stevensii. Its description in RNAcentral is "partial 16S ribosomal RNA". It matches the Rfam family "Bacterial small subunit ribosomal RNA", at positions 338 to 795 of the family's 1533-position model. Lineage: Bacteria; Pseudomonadati; Pseudomonadota; Gammaproteobacteria; Oceanospirillales; Halomonadaceae. The record is from RNAcentral.